UGAAAUCCUAUAAGACGCCGGAUGCCCGU
RNAcentral lists this non-coding RNA (29 nucleotides) under Bombyx mori (domestic silkworm). The record is from RNAcentral. Lineage: Eukaryota; Metazoa; Arthropoda; Insecta; Lepidoptera; Bombycidae.